AUUGAACGCUAGCGGGAUGCCUUACACAUGCAAGUCGAACGGAGUGGCGAACGGGUGAGUAAUGUAUCGGGACGUGCCCAGUAGCGGGGGAUACCUACGCGGAAGAGUAGCUAAUAACGCAUACUAUUGGAGCGGCCGCGAGCGGAUUAGCUAGUUGGUGGGGUAACGGCUCACCAAGGCGACGAGCCGUAGCGGGUUUGAGAGGACGACCAGCCACACUGGGACUGAGACACGGCCCAGACUCCUACGGGAGGCAGCAGUGGGGAAUUUUCGACAAUGGGGGAAACCCUGAUCCAGCCAUCCCGCGUGAGCGAUGAAGGCCUUCGGGUUGUAAAGCACUUUUGUCAGGGAAGCGGUACCUGCAGAAUAAGCACCGGCUAACUACGUGCCAGCCGCCGCGGUAAUUC
Molecule: ribosomal RNA, 407 nt
Filed under: uncultured bacterium
Lineage: Bacteria
Description: partial 16S ribosomal RNA
Rfam family: Bacterial small subunit ribosomal RNA
Source: RNAcentral